AGCUUUGCACAGUGGCAGUAUCAUAGCCAAUGAGGUUUAUCCAAGGCACAAUUAUUGCUGGUUA
Molecule: small nuclear RNA, 64 nt
Filed under: Nomascus leucogenys (northern white-cheeked gibbon)
Lineage: Eukaryota; Metazoa; Chordata; Mammalia; Primates; Hylobatidae
Description: U4 spliceosomal RNA
Rfam family: U4 spliceosomal RNA
About the family: U4 small nuclear RNA (U4 snRNA) is a component of the major U2-dependent spliceosome. The structure of U4 snRNA from yeast and human has been reported.
Source: Rfam by way of RNAcentral